This 489-nucleotide ribosomal RNA is filed under the name uncultured bacterium. Its description in RNAcentral is "partial 16S ribosomal RNA". It matches the Rfam family "Bacterial small subunit ribosomal RNA", at positions 30 to 506 of the family's 1533-position model. The record is from RNAcentral.
AUUGAACGCUGGCGGCAGGCCUAACACAUGCAAGUCGAACGGUAACAGGAAGAAGCUUGCUUCUUUGCUGACGAGUGGCGGACGGGUGAGUAAUGUCUGGGAAACUGCCUGAUGGAGGGGGAUAACUACUGGAAACGGUAGCUAAUACCGCAUAACGUCGCAAGACCAAAGAGGGGGACCUUCGGGCCUCUUGCCAUCGGAUGUGCCCAGAUGGGAUUAGCUAGUAGGUGGGGUAACGGCUCACCUAGGCGACGAUCCCUAGCUGGUCUGAGAGGAGGACCAGCCACACUGGAACUGAGAGACGGUCCAGACUCCUACGGGAGGCAGCAGUGGGGAAUAUUGCACAAUGGGCGCAAGCCUGAUGCAGCCAUGCCGCGUGGAUGAAGAAGGCCUUCGGGUUGUAAAGUACUUUCAGCGGGGAGGAAGGGAGUAAAGUUAAUACCUUUACUCAUUGACGUUACCCGCAGAAGAAGCACCGGCUAACUCCGU